Molecule: ribosomal RNA, 429 nt
Filed under: Chloroflexota bacterium
Lineage: Bacteria; Bacillati; Chloroflexota
Description: Chloroflexi bacterium partial 16S ribosomal RNA
Rfam family: Bacterial small subunit ribosomal RNA
Source: RNAcentral
UGGGGAAUAUUGCACAACGGGCGCAAGCCUGAUGCAGCCAUGCUGCGUGUAUGAAGAAGGCCUUCGGGUUGUAAAGUACUUUCAGUCGGGAGGAAGGUGGUAAGGUUAAUAACCUUAUCAAUUGACGUUACCGACAGAAGAAGCACCGGCUAACUCCGUGCCAGCAGCCGCGGUAAUACGGAGGGUGCAAGCGUUAAUCGGAAUUACUGGGCGUAAAGCGCACGCAGGCGGUUGAUUGAGUCAGAUGUGAAAUCCCCGGGCUUAACCCGGGAAUUGCAUCUGAUACUGGUCAGCUAGAGUCUUGUAGAGGGGGGUAGAAUUACAUGUGUAGCGGUGAAAUGCGUAGAGAUGUGGAGGAAUACCGAUGGCGGAGGCGGCCCCAUGAACAAAAACUGACGCUCAGGUGCGAAAGCAUGGGGAGCUAACAGG